CCCUUGAUGCGAAACACCGUAUAAUAAACUAAGUAGCCAUGAAAAUAUCCUGUCUCUGAGCCAAGUACAAUCGCAACAAUAUGCCAGUGGCAGUGCGGCUGAUUGAGUUUAUGACAAUUGCGACGCUCUUUAUUUUGGUUUCAACUGGAGCAUUUUUGCUGUACUUCGCCGACAAAAUUAUCAACUUCUUGGCAUUACUUUUAACGCCCAUCACUGAGCUGUGUUUGCUUAUAAUGGCUAUGUUGGAGUAUUUCUUCUACUGGGGCACCGGGCAUCUGAUGAAUAUUUUGUCUAGUAUAGGGACAUGUGCUGUUACUGUGCCAAAUAAUGAAUAAAAUUUUUUGUAUUUGAAAAACAAUAAA
This is a long non-coding RNA of Wyeomyia smithii (pitcher-plant mosquito), 362 nucleotides long. RefSeq lists it as uncharacterized. The record is from RefSeq and is a predicted model, not a curated record. The transcript has 2 exons. Lineage: Eukaryota; Metazoa; Arthropoda; Insecta; Diptera; Culicidae.